CAGUCGAACGGAGCGCCUAUGAAGGAGAUUUCGGUCAACGGAAUAGGUUGCUUAGUGGCGGACGGGUGAGUAACGCGUGAGGAACCUGCCUUUCAGAGGGGGACAACAGUUGGAAACGACUGCUAAUACCGCAUAACACAUAGGUGUCGCAUGGCAUUUAUGUCAAAGAUUUAUCGCUGAAAGAUGGCCUCGCGUCUGAUUAGCUAGUUGGUGAGGUAACGGCUCACCAAGGCGACGAUCAGUAGCCGGACUGAGAGGUUGGCCGGCCACAUUGGGACUGAGAUACGGCCCAGACUCCUACGGGAGGCAGCAGUGGGGAAUAUUGGGCAAUGGGCGCAAGCCUGACCCAGCAACGCCGCGUGAAGGAAGAAGGCUUUCGGGUUGUAAACUUCUUUUGACAGGGAAGAGUAGAAGACGGUACCUGUCGAAUAAGCCACGGCUAACUACGUGCCAGCAGCCGCGGUAAUACGUAGGUGGCAAGCGUUGUCCGGAUUUACUGGGUGUAAAGGGCGUGUAGCCGGGUUGACAAGUCAGAUGUGAAAUCCUGCGGCUUAACCGCAGAACUGCAUUUGAAACUGUUGAUCUUGAGUACUGGAGAGGCAGACGGAAUUCCUAGUGUAGCGGUGAAAUGCGUAGAUAUUAGGAGGAACACCAGUGGCGAAGGCGGUCUGCUGGACAGCAACUGACGGU
Molecule: ribosomal RNA, 690 nt
Filed under: uncultured bacterium
Lineage: Bacteria
Description: bacterial SSU rRNA
Rfam family: Bacterial small subunit ribosomal RNA
Source: RNAcentral